RNAcentral lists this long non-coding RNA (734 nucleotides) under Phoenix dactylifera (date palm). Its description in RNAcentral is "long non-coding RNA (PDAC_LNC018511)". The record is from RNAcentral. Lineage: Eukaryota; Viridiplantae; Streptophyta; Magnoliopsida; Arecales; Arecaceae.
GCUUUGAGAUCCGUGCAACUAAGAUGGUAUGCUUUGAGAUUUGAGAAACAAAUAAUUGCAGGGAUUUUAUUAUUUUUGAGAUAAAAAUUAGAUCAUGUGGAAAAAGAGAUGGAACGAGUGGAGAGAAAUUUAGGUGAACUUAGAAAGCACUGGAUUUUGGAGAAGAGUUCUUGAAGUCGACUCCGGAGAAUGGGAAAUUGUAAAAUGAUGUAGUGUCCGUUUAGGCUUUACCUAAUUGAGCUCGACUCGACCUGCAUGCAUUAAGCUUAAUCAAUAAAUAAUCAAAUCAAACUUGAAUUACCUUGGAUAAUUUAUUAAAAUACAAUCAUGAAGGUAAUCCAAUUUUUAGUUAAAUUUACAAAAUAUGUGAAUUAAAAUAAUGAUAAGUGCUAUAAAUAAGAUAUUAAUUUAUGCAUUAUUUAGCACUUAUCACACCCCCCAACCUACAUUUUGCUAGUCCUCGAGUAAAAUAAAAACUAACUCACUUUCGCAGGAAUCGCGAUUGCAUUUACCAUAUGCAAUAAGGCUUUAAACCCCUAGGUGGCCCUAGUGGACGAGUUUUGUCUCGUGAGGGUUUCCGGCUCAGAUACCCACAAACUGUUUGUCUCUACUCAAAGAGUUAUUAUUUUAUAAAAUCUAAUUUCAAAUGCAUAAAUGCCAAGAAUUUCAAAAGCACACAAAGUUUUAAUUACUAAGUCAACCCGAAUCCUAAGUCAGUAUGCAACUUAAGUUGA